RNAcentral lists this unclassified non-coding RNA (339 nucleotides) under soil metagenome. Its description in RNAcentral is "partial contains 5.8S ribosomal RNA, internal transcribed spacer 2, and large subunit ribosomal RNA". The stretch from base 1 to 120 matches the Rfam family "5.8S ribosomal RNA", at positions 35 to 154 of the family's 154-position model. The record is from RNAcentral.
GAUGAAGAACGCAGCGAAAUGCGAUACGUAGUGUGAAUUGCAAAAUUCAGUGAAUCAUCGAAUCUUUGAACGCACAUUGCACCUCUCGGUAUUCCGGGAGGUAUGCCUGUUCGAGCGUCAUUUGUACCCUCAAGCUCUGCUUGGUGUUGGGUGUUUGUUCCGCCUCUGUGUGUGAACUCGCCUCAAAACAAUUGGCAGCCGGCGUACUUGUUUCGGAGCGCAGCACAUUUUGCGAUCCAGAUCAACGUACAGCGGCAUCCAAGAAGCCUUAUUUAACGCUCUUGACCUCGGAUCAGGUAGGGAUACCCGCUGAACUUAAGCAUAUCAAUAAGCGGAGGA